Molecule: ribosomal RNA, 633 nt
Filed under: Staphylococcus aureus
Lineage: Bacteria; Bacillati; Bacillota; Bacilli; Caryophanales; Staphylococcaceae
Description: bacterial LSU rRNA
Rfam family: Bacterial large subunit ribosomal RNA
Source: RNAcentral
AGAUUAAGUUAUUAAGGGCGCACGGUGGAUGCCUUGGCACUAGAAGCCGAUGAAGGACGUUACUAACGACGAUAUGCUUUGGGGAGCUGUAAGUAAGCUUUGAUCCAGAGAUUUCCGAAUGGGGAAACCCAGCAUGAGUUAUGUCAUGUUAUCGAUAUGUGAAUACAUAGCAUAUCAGAAGGCACACCCGGAGAACUGAAACAUCUUAGUACCCGGAGGAAGAGAAAGAAAAUUCGAUUCCCUUAGUAGCGGCGAGCGAAACGGGAAGAGCCCAAACCAACAAGCUUGCUUGUUGGGGUUGUAGGACACUCUAUACGGAGUUACAAAGGACGACAUUAGACGAAUCAUCUGGAAAGAUGAAUCAAAGAAGGUAAUAAUCCUGUAGUCGAAAAUGUUGUCUCUCUUGAGUGGAUCCUGAGUACGACGGAGCACGUGAAAUUCCGUCGGAAUCUGGGAGGACCAUCUCCUAAGGCUAAAUACUCUCUAGUGACCGAUAGUGAACCAGUACCGUGAGGGAAAGGUGAAAAGCACCCCGGAAGGGGAGUGAAAUAGAACCUGAAACCGUGUGCUUACAAGUAGUCAGAGCCCGUUAAUGGGUGAUGGCGUGCCUUUUGUAGAAUGAACCGGCGAGUU